Molecule: long non-coding RNA, 416 nt
Filed under: Equus caballus (horse)
Lineage: Eukaryota; Metazoa; Chordata; Mammalia; Perissodactyla; Equidae
Description: lncRNA (ENSECAG00000047409.1)
Source: RNAcentral
AGAGACUAAAGAGGUACUGUGACAUCUGUCUUGAUUACUCUGUCUCUCUCUCAGAUCAUUCAUGCAGGGAAAACCAACUUCCAUGCCUUGUAGACACUAAGGCAGCCCUGAGGAGAGGUCUAUAUAACAAGAAAUCAAGACCCCCCCCAGCCAACAGCCAGUGUUGCUCGAUGAGGAGUCCAGAAACCUGGCCACAGGAAGAAUAGUUGCAAGUACUGGAAAUGUUUAACAUAGAAAAAAGAAGGUUCGGCAUGGGCAAAGUAUCUUCAGGUUCUUAUAGCACUUGCCAGCAAUAACCACAUUGCUUCCCCUUGUCCAGUCUCCCCUCUCUGAGGAGAUAUGAUGAAAGCCAAAUGGACAAGCAUCCAUGUCUGAGGGUCGUGCCAUGACGAUUGACUCAGUUACCCUGAAACUGC